CGGUUAUAUCACGUUGAAAACACCGUUUCUAAACACCGGUUCACGUAGGAUUACCGAAGUUAAGCAGUGCCGAGCCUGGUCAGUAUCUUGAUGGGUGACCGCCUCAGAUUACCAGGUGCU
Acanthosepion pharaonis is the source of this 120-nucleotide non-coding RNA. Lineage: Eukaryota; Metazoa; Mollusca; Cephalopoda; Sepiida; Sepiidae. The record is from the annotation of a GenBank genome assembly.